AAUAUUGGUCAAUGGAGGAAACUCUGAUGCAGCGACGCCGCGUGAACGACAAAGGCCUUCGGGUCGUAAAGUUCUGUCCUUGGGGACGAUAAUGACGGACACCAAGGAGGAAGCCCCGGUUAACUACGUUCCAGCAGCAGCGGUAAUACGUAGGGGGCGAGCGUUGUCCGGAAUUAUUGGGCGUAAAGGGUUCGCAGGCGGUCUUUUAAGUCAGAUGUUAAAUGCAUAGGCUCAACCUAUGAGUGCAUUUGAAACUGGAAGACUUGAGUUAAGGAGAGGAAAGUGGAAUUCCUAGUGUAGCGGUGAAAUGCGUAGAUAUUAGGAGGAAUACCAGUGGCGAAGGCGACUUUCUGGACUUAAACUGACGCUGAGGAACGAAAGCAUGGGGAGCAAACAG
RNAcentral lists this ribosomal RNA (397 nucleotides) under uncultured bacterium. Its description in RNAcentral is "partial 16S ribosomal RNA". It matches the Rfam family "Bacterial small subunit ribosomal RNA", at positions 360 to 775 of the family's 1533-position model. The record is from RNAcentral.